Molecule: long non-coding RNA, 583 nt
Filed under: Mytilus galloprovincialis (Mediterranean mussel)
Lineage: Eukaryota; Metazoa; Mollusca; Bivalvia; Mytilida; Mytilidae
Source: RNAcentral
CUUAUACAGAGACAGGCGAAAGCAGUUUCCAAAAUUACCUAAAUGUAGAUUAGAAAUUCACGAGACAUUAAGACAAAUAGAUUUGAACACUAACAACAAUUGAAACUUAUUUUAACUUUUAAUUAGUCAAUGAUUUUGAUUCGGGAAUCGUUAUACUUUCAUGUUUCACCAACUUGGUAUGUCUAUGUAAUGAAAUGACUGAUAUUUUCAUAGAUGGCACAUUUAAAUCCUGUCCGAAAUUUUCUACCAACUCAGUUUAUUCGAUACAUGGAUGUAAAAAUGGUAACUACAUUCGUCUUGUAUUUGCGUUACUUCCACUUAAAUCCGAGGAAUGUUACACGAAACUGUUGGAUCGGCUUAUUGAUGUGUGCACUACCCGAAGAAUAACUUCCCGAGGUAGUUCAUAAUGACUUUGAAUGUGUAAUGCAUACUGCUGUUACGAAAACACGAAUAGUGCCGAGUCUUUUCAUGCCCACUUGAACGAGCAGUUUUACGCUAGCCAUCCUAACAUUUUUUGUUUGUUUUUAUCGAUGUGUUAUUGAAACUGCAAACAACAUCUUACAUAAAGAUGAGAACUCUAACU